UACGAUUUUUCGGUAUUCGCCCGGAUUCUACCAUUUUCACUUACUCAUACUGAUUCAACCCUUUUCCGGUACUCGCCCGGACAGUUUUUCGGUACUCGCACGGAUUCUACCAUUUCCCGAUUUUCGGCGGAUUUUUACAAUUUUUCGGUAUUCGCCCGGAUUCUACCAUUUUCAUAUACUCAUACUGAUUCAACCCUUUUCCGGUACUCGCCCGGACAGUUUUUCGGUACUCGCACGGAAUCUACCAUUUCCCGAUUUUCGGCGGAUUUUUAUGAUUUUUCGGUAUUCACCCGGAUUCUACCAUUUUCACUUGCUUAUACUAUUCAAGCCUUUUCCGGUACUCGCCCGGACAGUUUUUCGGUACUCGCACGG
Molecule: long non-coding RNA, 372 nt
Filed under: Vitis vinifera (wine grape)
Lineage: Eukaryota; Viridiplantae; Streptophyta; Magnoliopsida; Vitales; Vitaceae
Description: long non-coding RNA (VVIN_LNC006984)
Source: RNAcentral